This is a non-coding RNA of Serendipita sp. 396, 87 nucleotides long. NCBI's taxonomy places the organism in Eukaryota, Fungi, Basidiomycota, Agaricomycetes, Sebacinales, Serendipitaceae. The record is from the annotation of a GenBank genome assembly.
GGGACUGUAGCUUAAUGGUAGAGUGCGCUGUUAUCCUUACUUUGUAAUCUCCCAGCGUGAUUUGAGGUUCGAUUCCCAACGGUCCCU